CUGGGCAGGUGGCACAUGCCUGUAAUCCCAGCAUUCAAGAGGCCGAAGCAGGAGGAUCACCAUGAGUUUGAGGCCAGUGUGGACUAUAUAGCGAGUUCAAGGCCAGCCUGCACUACAAAGCGAGACCCUGUCUCAAAAAAUAAAAUAAAGGUAGAUAAAUAAAUUACCUGUCCCUCCAUACAUACAUACAUACAUACAUACACCUAAGCUACAACAUAGAAGAGAGGAAAGAUAGUCUCAAUAAACCUUCCUCUGGAAGAGAGAAAAAUGACAGGCACAGAGCAGUCACUGCUCCAUAACAAUGCUGCUCAAAUGAACUCUUGUUCCUCCGGGGAUAAAGAGGUCUUUAGUCUGCACUGUAGAAUUAGCUCCCCACCCUUCAGCAAUUUAGCAAGACCUUAUCUCAGUGCUGGGGAUUUAGCUCUGGACCUUGUGCUUGCCAGGCAGGCAGCAGCACCACUGAGCUAAAUCUCCGGCAUGAGUUUUUUUUGUUUUUGGGGGCUUUUUUGGUACCGGGGAUCAAACUCAGGUCCUUGCACUUGCACAGCAGGCGGUGAAACCGCUGAGCUAAAUCCCCAGCCCCUGGCAUGAGUAUAUUUUUUAAAAGGUGAGUAAUGCUAACCAACUCAUGGUACUCACAUUCUGUCUUGAAACCUUUUCACCCACCAUACUUUCUUUAAGUGCAAGUUAUUGCAGGCAAUGAUUUUAACAAAUGUUUUGUCAUCAUAUAAUGGGUUGACAACUUACCAGCCUCUCUAUGUGUUGUUCACUGGGCAUUGGCUUUUAAACCAAUCUCACAAGGGCUGGGGAUUUAGCUCAGUGGUUCUGCUGCCUGCCUCGCAAGCACAAGGACCCGAGUUCAAUCCCCGGUACCAAAAAAAAAAUAGUCUCACAUAUUUUUCAGGUUUUGUUAUCACCCACUACCACCCACCCACUAUCACCCACUAUUGGUACCAGCUUCAAUAUACUUUGCUCUAGUGACAAGCCUAAGAUGUCAGUGGCUCACAACAACAAACAUAUCUUUCUCAUGUAUAGACCUGUGCACUGCUUGUUCUACAUGUCUUAUCCUGGGCUCUAAGCUCUAGAUUGGGCUGAUGGCGUAGACUAUUUGUUCUUGUAGUGAAAACUACAGUAGCAAGAGACUCACUCAUACAAAUGAGUUUACAGCUGCUGCUCAGAUGUGCUAUGACUCACAACUCACAUAUGAUUGGCCAAAGCAACUCACAUGGACUGGCCGGACACUGGUGAAGAAGAAGAAGGCAAGCCUGUGUUAUACUGUACUGGCUUGGGUUUUCCAGAGGGACUUCAUGUAUAUGUAACUAUGCUAGGGGCUUUAUUGGAUAAGCUUACUGGACCAGAGCUGGGAGAGUCUACAGUGGCUGUCUGAAUGCUGGAGAGUCAGAGGACCCAGGAGCUGCUCAAAGCUAUGGAACAAGAGGGAUCAAGGAUGCUGAGCCAGACUAAGACUAAAGGCUUCACAGCUCCCCGACAGCUUCCAC
RNAcentral lists this long non-coding RNA (1499 nucleotides) under Heterocephalus glaber (naked mole-rat). RNAcentral describes it as "lncRNA (ENSHGLG00000049310.1)". The record is from RNAcentral. Lineage: Eukaryota; Metazoa; Chordata; Mammalia; Rodentia; Bathyergidae.